AGAAAAACAGAGCAGAGCGAGCUGCAGCAUGGAGUGCUAGGGGAGCAAGGGCACGGGCUUGCAUCACCAAGAAGCUGGGUCCAGAGAAGUUUGUACCCGCUCUGCUCAGGACUUCAGUACCAAUGUCUCUUAUCAUCACCUCUACCCAUUGGGAACUGAAACCAGACCUCCUAUAGCCUCCAGAGUGUUCUGUGGCAGAUAUUUCCCCCAAG
This is a long non-coding RNA of Gracilinanus agilis (Agile Gracile Mouse Opossum), 212 nucleotides long. RefSeq lists it as uncharacterized. The transcript has 3 exons. Lineage: Eukaryota; Metazoa; Chordata; Mammalia; Didelphimorphia; Didelphidae. The record is from RefSeq and is a predicted model, not a curated record.